UGGUGGUGAUGAGGUUAAUUUUUAAGCAUGCCUUUAAAUCGCUCCGAAGCUUGAUAGAGAUUUUCUUCAUCUUCUUGUCUGAAACUCAAAAUCUCACUCCUCAAUCA
This is a non-coding RNA of Capsicum annuum, 107 nucleotides long. Lineage: Eukaryota; Viridiplantae; Streptophyta; Magnoliopsida; Solanales; Solanaceae. The record is from Rfam.